AGUGAACGCUGGCGGUAGGCCUAACACAUGCAAGUCGAACGGCAGCACAGUAAAAGCUUGCUCUUACGGGUGGCGAGUGGCGGACGGGUGAGGAAUACAUCGGAAUCUACUUUUUCGUGGGGGAUAACGUAGGGAAAAUUACGCUAAUACCGCAUACGACCUACGGGUGAAAGCAGGGGAUCUUCGGACCUUGCGCGAUUGAAUGAGCCGAUGUCGGAUUAGCUAGUUGGCGGGGUAAAGGCCCACCAAGUCGACGAUCCGUAGCUGGUCUGAGAGGAUGAUCAGCCACACUGGAACUGAGACACGGCCCAGACUCCUACGGGAGGCAGCAGUGGGGAAUAUUGGACAAUGGGCGCAAGCCUGCUCCAGCCAUACCGCGUGGGUGAAGAAGGCCUUCGGGUUGUAAAGCCCUUUUGUUGGGAAAGAAAGGCAGCAGGUUAAUACCCCGCUGUUCUGACGGUACCCAAAGAAUAAGCACCGGCUAACUUCGUG
RNAcentral lists this ribosomal RNA (492 nucleotides) under uncultured bacterium. RNAcentral describes it as "partial 16S ribosomal RNA". It matches the Rfam family "Bacterial small subunit ribosomal RNA", at positions 29 to 507 of the family's 1533-position model. The record is from RNAcentral.